AUGGCGACCGGCGCACGGGUGAGUAACGCGUAUCCAACCUGCCCUUUACUAUGGGACAGCCCGUCGAAAGGCGGAUUAAUACCGUAUGUUGUCAUGUUGAUGCAUAUUUUCAUGACCAAAGGCUUCGGCCGGUAAAGGAUGGGGAUGCGUCUGAUUAGCUUGCCGGCGGGGUAACGGCCCACCGGGGCGACGAUGGAUAGGGGUUCUGAGAGGAAGGUCCCCCACAUUGGAACUGAGACACGGUCCAAACUCCUACGGGAGGCAGCAG
Molecule: ribosomal RNA, 268 nt
Filed under: uncultured bacterium
Lineage: Bacteria
Description: partial 16S ribosomal RNA
Rfam family: Bacterial small subunit ribosomal RNA
Source: RNAcentral